AGGGGUUCCACACGUACCCAUCCCGAACACGACCGUUAAGCCCUCCAGCGCCGAUGGUACUUGGACCGCAGGGUCCUGGGAGAGUAGGACGUCGCCAAGC
This 100-nucleotide ribosomal RNA is filed under the name Paenibacillus macquariensis. Lineage: Bacteria; Bacillati; Bacillota; Bacilli; Caryophanales; Paenibacillaceae. The record is from RNAcentral.